Molecule: ribosomal RNA, 115 nt
Filed under: Rickettsiales bacterium
Lineage: Bacteria; Pseudomonadati; Pseudomonadota; Alphaproteobacteria; Rickettsiales
Source: RNAcentral
GGCAGCUGUUUUAGCGAUAGGGAAACACGUGAUACCAUUCCGAACUCAACUGUGAAACCUAUUCAGCGCCGAUGGUACUAGGCUUGAGCUUUGGGAGAGUAGGUCAUGGCUGCUU